CCUACGGGAGGCAGCAGUGGGGAAUAUUGGGCAAUGGAGGAAACUCUGACCCAGCAAUGCCGCGUGAAUGAAGAAGGUCUUCGGAUUGUAAAGUUCUUUAGUCAGGGAAGAAUAAAAUGACGGUACCUGAAGAAUAAGCUCCGGCUAACUACGUGCCAGCAGCCGCGGGAAUACGUAGGGAGCAAGCGUUGUUCGGAAUGACUGGGCGUAAAGGGUGCGUAGGCGGUUAUACAAGUUAGAAGUGAAAUACCCAGGGCUUAACUCGGGUGCUGCUUCUAAAACUGUAAGACUUGAGUGAAGUAGAGGGUAGUGGAAUUCCUAGUGUAGCGGUGGAAUGCGUAGAUAUUAGGAGGAACACCAGAGGCGAAGGCGACUAACUGGACUGCAACUGACGCUGAGGCACGAAAGUGUGGGGAGCAAACAGGAUUAGAUACCCUUGUAGUC
This 444-nucleotide ribosomal RNA is filed under the name uncultured bacterium. RNAcentral describes it as "partial 16S ribosomal RNA". It matches the Rfam family "Bacterial small subunit ribosomal RNA", at positions 338 to 795 of the family's 1533-position model. The record is from RNAcentral.